This is a long non-coding RNA of Choloepus didactylus (southern two-toed sloth), 822 nucleotides long. RefSeq lists it as uncharacterized. The record is from RefSeq and is a predicted model, not a curated record. Lineage: Eukaryota; Metazoa; Chordata; Mammalia; Pilosa; Megalonychidae. The transcript is spliced from 3 exons.
GGGCCGGGUCCUGCUGCGGUGUGUGCAGCGUCCCCACACAACCCAGGGUGAGGUCUGCGUUGAGGCCAUACGGCCAAACGCUCACGAAACAGACUCCCAAGGGUCAAAAUGAGUCGUAAUAUCCGAACGGGACCCAUCUUUGCCCUCUGAGGAAAGCUGGUCCGAGGCUUUGGGUUGACAGACAUGAGCCAAACCUGGGAGGAUGGUGGAUACCCUUAGUGCCUUCAAAAACUGCUUCUGAAAAACAAGUAGAUUUGCAGAAGUACUUCCUUGGCAUUCGCGUCAGACAUGGAAGGGAUCGCCCCGGCAGGAAAAAAAAAAAAGUGGGGAGGACCUCGACUUUGCAGUCCUCCCCACCCCCCACCUGUAUAAGCUUCAGGCUCCACAAAACCUGGAUCUUCCGUCCGAUAUUUUGGGGAGAAAGUUUCCACCUUUCUCACCAAACUCCUCAAUUCAUGUCUCUCUAAGGAGGAGUGACUUACUGUCAUCUGAGGUCUAGUCUCUCUCUGGCCCUCUCACUCAGAUCUGUCUGCUCACAAUGGAAAGCUACUGGGGCAAGCCCUGGAAGGACAGAGUGAAGGAGGUAGUAGUUGCUGCCUUUGACAACAUUCUCCAAAACUGGCACCUUUUCAGCAAAUUUUAAAGCCACUGUGAUUAAAUGAGGGCUGUGAAGACUCUGGAGAAAGCAUCAUGAAAGGAAAACUCUGGGAGAUAUGGAGAGAAGGGAAUGGGUCUUUUUUUUUCCUUUCUUUUUAAAUUUGUUUUUAUUGAGAUAUAUUCACAUACCAUGCAGUCAUACAAAGCAUACAUUCAGUUGUUCAG